This 28-nucleotide small RNA is filed under the name Bombyx mori (domestic silkworm). RNAcentral's name for it is "ovarian small RNA-12748". The record is from RNAcentral. Lineage: Eukaryota; Metazoa; Arthropoda; Insecta; Lepidoptera; Bombycidae.
CAAAGAAAUAGUACCCUUUUCAGGAAAA